This 253-nucleotide ribosomal RNA is filed under the name uncultured bacterium. RNAcentral's name for it is "partial 16S ribosomal RNA". It matches the Rfam family "Bacterial small subunit ribosomal RNA", at positions 524 to 776 of the family's 1533-position model. The record is from RNAcentral.
UACAGAGGUCUCAAGCGUUGUUCGGAUUUACUGGGCGUAAAGGGUGUGCAGGCGGGGGUCCAAGUGGUGUAUGAAAUCGCCCGGCUUAACCGGGCUAGGUUAUGCCAGACUGGACUUCUAGAGUGCGAGAGAGGGACGUGGAAUUCCGGGUGUAGUGGUGAAAUGCGUAGAGAUCCGGAGGAACCCCAGAGGCGAAGGCGGCGUCCUGGCUCGCAACUGACGCUCAGACACGACAGCAUGGGGAGCGAACGGG